Molecule: ribosomal RNA, 492 nt
Filed under: uncultured bacterium
Lineage: Bacteria
Description: partial 16S ribosomal RNA
Rfam family: Bacterial small subunit ribosomal RNA
Source: RNAcentral
AGUGAACGCUGGCGGUAGGCCUAACACAUGCAAGUCGAACGGCAGCACAGUAAGAGCUUGCUCUUACGGGUGGCGAGUGGCGGACGGGUGAGGAAUACAUCGGAAUCUACUUUUUCGUGGGGGAUAACGUAGGGAAACUUACGCUAAUACCGCAUACGACCUACGGGUGAAAGCAGGGGAUCUUCGGACCUUGCGCGAUUGAAUGAGCCGAUGUCGGAUUAGCUAGUUGGCGGGGUAAAGGCCCACCAAGGCGACGAUCCGUAGCUGGUCUGAGAGGAGGAUGAGGCACACUGGAAAUGAGACACGGUCCAGACUCCUACGGGAGGCAGAAGUGGGGAAGAUUGGACAAUGGGCGCAAGCCUGAUCCAGCCAUGCCGCGUGUGUGAAGAAGGUCUUCGGAUUGUAAAGCACUUUAAGUUGGGAAGAAGAGCAGUAAGUUAAUACCUUGCUGUUUUGACGUGACCAAAAGAAUAAGCACCGGCUAACUUCGUG